CGUGUAGGUGGAUUUGUAAGUGAGGGGUGAAAUCCCGGGGCUUAACUCCGGAACUGCCUUUCAUACUGCAAGUCUUGAGUGCGGGAGAGGGAGAUGGAAUUCCUGGUGUAGCGGUGGAAUGCGUAGAUAUCAGGAGGAACACCGGUGGCGAAGGCGGUCUCCUGGCCCGUAACUGACACUGAGGCGCGAAAGCGUGGGGAGCAAACA
Molecule: ribosomal RNA, 207 nt
Filed under: uncultured bacterium
Lineage: Bacteria
Description: partial 16S ribosomal RNA
Rfam family: Bacterial small subunit ribosomal RNA
Source: RNAcentral